UGACGGUACCUGACUAAGAAGCUCCGGCUAAAUACGUGCCAGCAGCCGCGGUAAUACGUAUGGAGCAAGCGUUAUCCGGAUUUACUGGGUGUAAAGGGAGCGCAGGCGGUUUUGUAAGUUGGAUGUGAAAGCCCGGGGCUCAACCUCGGGACUGCAUCCAAAACUACAUAACUAGAGUGUCGGAGGGGCAAGCGGAAUUCCUAGUGUAGCGGUGAAAUGCGUAGAUAUUAGGAGGAACACCGGUGGCGAAGGCGGCUUGCUGGACGAUAACUGACGCUGAGGCUCGAAAGCGUGGGGAGCAAACAGGAUUAGAUACCCUG
Molecule: ribosomal RNA, 320 nt
Filed under: uncultured bacterium
Lineage: Bacteria
Description: bacterial SSU rRNA
Rfam family: Bacterial small subunit ribosomal RNA
Source: RNAcentral